Odocoileus virginianus texanus is the source of this 901-nucleotide long non-coding RNA. RefSeq lists it as uncharacterized. The record is from RefSeq and is a predicted model, not a curated record. NCBI's taxonomy places the organism in Eukaryota, Metazoa, Chordata, Mammalia, Artiodactyla, Cervidae.
UUGGGGCGUGGGGGACCGUGGCUUGGAGCACGGGAGGGCUGCGAGCCUACUCAGGCUGCUUUUCUUCUACCAUCACCUUCUCCUUUCGCUGUGCACGGGCCACACGGUGGAACUGCAGCGGUGAAAAUGACUGAAGUCGGGGCGCUGUAACCUCCUGGCGACCCUGAGGAGCAGCAGCGGAAACACAAGUAAGAAUGGAGAGUGCUCUUCUCCCCAGAAGCUAACAAAGCGUCAAGUCUUUCUCUGUGAAAUGGCUGUAGAAUGUAAACUGAGGCUCCUGGCAUUUCCCUACUGGCUGAGUUCAAGAACCACCCACUCUGAGUUGUCUUCCUGGAUUUUCUCAGCCCAAAGUAAUCCUUCUUUUUCUGAGAGGCAAAGGAAAGGAGACUUCAUCAGGCAAAAUACUGAAGCAAUGGGAAUACAAACAAUAGGAAGUAGGAACUUGGGACUUUCGACUUGAUUUUGUUCCAGCACCUGUUGACCCAAAUACCAUUUCACUUGUCAUAUUGGAUUUUGUAUUGUAGAUGCUGAGCUUCGUCUGUGAACAAAACCUACCGAGUCUCUGACCUCAUGGAACUCGUGAGGUGGAAUCAGGGCCACACAGGAACAACUCACAGCAAACUACAGGGACAUUCAUGACAUGUCUGUGCCCAGGGAAGUCCACCAAGUCUCCAGGUCUGAGGCAUUUAUGAGACAAAACUCAAGACUCAAAUGAAACUUACUUAAAGCCAGGAUCCCUGAAGACUUCCUUAUGGAUUUUGUCUCUGGGAACACGGCUCAGCAGCAUGGACACAGAAACAGCAGUGGUGGCUGGUUGCAUUGAUCCAGAUUUGGAAGUUGUGUGGCAGUUAAAGCAGAAGGAUAAGGUACCUCUUCUUUUAUGGUGCUGGAGAAGACUCUU